UAAAUUAAAACAACAUUUUAAUUUAUCGUCCCAGAUUGACAUCUAGCAAUGUGUCGGGACAAUACAUGUGACGAGAAAUGUCACGUAGUAGGACAAAACUAAAUUCGUUCAUUUAUCGUGAAACUAUAAUCCCUUCGUCAAUAUGAUCCGAUGAAAUAUGGAAGUGUGUCAAUCUUGAUUAUCGAUCAUAUCUUUCACUCCACUAUUAAGUCAAUAUAAGUCGAAAAUUUCUUUUCGACUUAUGAGUACACCUUGGUCAAGAAUUUCGUUAUCGACUUAAUUGAAUGAAACGCAGAUCAUAAUCUCUUACUAUUUAAGAGUGACGAAUCCUUUAUUGCUCAAUCACCACCUUCAUACGAUUCUUGACGUACUCGAACGAUAUCGUAUUAGCGGUCCUUUGUAGAGCAACAUCCAACACCGUCAAAGUAUGACCGUCCUCAUAUAAGGUACCAUGACGACCUCAAAUCAAAGGACCAAUUCCACUACCGAACGUUAGAGAUUAACCACUGACACUCAAAUAGUUCUCCAUAUGGAAUCUCUUGGCGG
This 546-nucleotide long non-coding RNA is filed under the name Olea europaea (common olive). RNAcentral's name for it is "long non-coding RNA (OEUR_LNC007125)". The record is from RNAcentral. Lineage: Eukaryota; Viridiplantae; Streptophyta; Magnoliopsida; Lamiales; Oleaceae.